Molecule: non-coding RNA, 345 nt
Organism: Tinamus guttatus (white-throated tinamou)
Lineage: Eukaryota; Metazoa; Chordata; Aves; Tinamiformes; Tinamidae
Source: RefSeq, a predicted model, not a curated record
UCUCUCUCCUGGAUGUUGCACUGUGUUGAUCACUGCCCUGCCUCUGCAAAUCCUAUUUGAAAAUCUCAUUUGCAGCAUAACUGACAACAAAGGCAUUACAUGGUGUAUGCCCUGCAUAUUCUGCAGACUGUUCCUUGCCUUUUUUCAUAUGCAAAGCAUGCAUCAGCCACAUCCAUGCUAUCUCCUAAAGCAGUCAUUCUGAAACCCAGUCUGGGGACAGUGCAGACUAAAUAAAAUUUCAUUUUGAUUUGGCCUCCCGCUGAGAAUGGGACUGCUUUGUUUCAGGCGGCAGAACCAGCAAGCCAGAAAGGUACUGAAUACACAAACACUGACUUAACGAAAAAU